UUGAGUAGAGCGGCGGACGGGUGAGUAACGCGUAGGAAUCUACCUGGUAGUGGGGGACAACUUGUGGAAACGCAAGCUAAUACCGCAUACGACCUAAGGGUGAAAGUGGGGGACCUUCGGGCCUCGCGCUAUCGGAUGAGCCUGCGUAGGAUUAGCUUGUUGGUGGGGUAAAGGCUCACCAAGGCGACGAUCCUUAGCUGGUCUGAGAGGAUGAUCAGCCACACUGGAACUGAGACACGGUCCAGACUCC
This 250-nucleotide ribosomal RNA is filed under the name uncultured bacterium. Its description in RNAcentral is "partial 16S ribosomal RNA". It matches the Rfam family "Bacterial small subunit ribosomal RNA", at positions 86 to 339 of the family's 1533-position model. The record is from RNAcentral.